GAAAUGCGAUAAGUAAUGUGAAUUGCAGAAUUCAGUGAAUCAUCGAAUCUUUGAACGCACAUUGCGCCCGCCAGUAUUCUGGCGGGCAUGCCUGUUCGAGCGUCAUUUCAACCAUCAAGCCCCCGGGCUUGUGUUGGGGACCUGCGGCUGCCGCAGGCCCCGAAAACCAGUGGCGGGCUCGCUGUCACACCGGGCGUAGUAGAUUUUUCGUCUCGCCCAGGGCGUGCUGCGGGUUCCGGCCGUUAAAAAGCCUCUCUUUUAACCCAAGGUUGACCUCGGAUCAGGUAGGAAGACCCGCUGAACCUAAGC
RNAcentral lists this unclassified non-coding RNA (309 nucleotides) under plant metagenome. RNAcentral's name for it is "partial contains 5.8S ribosomal RNA, internal transcribed spacer 2, and large subunit ribosomal RNA". The stretch from base 1 to 105 matches the Rfam family "5.8S ribosomal RNA", at positions 50 to 154 of the family's 154-position model. The record is from RNAcentral.